UGGUUACGAAAAGAGUUUUAAAUUUUAAAGAGACCGAUGACAGUUAACGGUCUCAGGCGACAGGCACAAAACGGAGAGAAACUAUGUUUGAA
RNAcentral lists this non-coding RNA (92 nucleotides) under uncultured Kluyvera sp. Its description in RNAcentral is "Plasmid-encoded Shigella sRNA A". It matches the Rfam family "Plasmid-encoded Shigella sRNA A". The record is from RNAcentral. Lineage: Bacteria; Pseudomonadati; Pseudomonadota; Gammaproteobacteria; Enterobacterales; Enterobacteriaceae.